Molecule: ribosomal RNA, 498 nt
Filed under: uncultured bacterium
Lineage: Bacteria
Description: partial 16S ribosomal RNA
Rfam family: Bacterial small subunit ribosomal RNA
Source: RNAcentral
AUCGAACGCUGGCGGCAUGCCUUACACAUGCAAGUCGAACGGUAACGCGGGGCAACCUGGCGACGAGUGGCGAACGGGUGAGUAAUGCAUCGGAACGUGCCCAGUAGCGGGGGAUAGUCCGGCGAAAGCCGGAUUAAUACCGCAUACGACCUACGGGGGGAAGGGGGGGAUCGCAAGACCUCCAGCUAUUGGACUGGCCGAUGUCAGAUUAGCUAGUUGGUGGGGUAAAAGCCUACCAAGGCGACGAUCUGUAGCUGGUCUGAGAGGACGACCAGCCACACUGGGACUGAGACACGGCCCAGACUCCUACGGGAGGCAGCAGUGGGGAAUUUUGGACAAUGGGCGAAAGCCUGAUCCAGCCAUGCCGCGUGCGGGAAGAAGGCCUUCGGGUUGUAAACCGCUUUUGUCAGGGAAGAAAUCUUCUGAGUUAAUACCUCGGGAGGAUGACGGUACCUGAAGAAUAAGCACCGGCUAACUACGUGCCAGCAGCCGCGGUAA